RNAcentral lists this ribosomal RNA (207 nucleotides) under uncultured bacterium. Its description in RNAcentral is "partial 16S ribosomal RNA". It matches the Rfam family "Bacterial small subunit ribosomal RNA", at positions 568 to 774 of the family's 1533-position model. The record is from RNAcentral.
CGCGUAGGCGGCUCAUUAAGUGGCUGGUGAAAUCCCGGGGCUCAACUCCGGGGCUGCCGGUCAGACUGGUGGGCUUGAGCACGGUAGAGGCGGAUGGAAUUCCCGGUGUAGCGGUGGAAUGCGUAGAGAUCGGGAAGAAUACCGGUGGCGAAGGCGUUCCGCUGGGCCGUUGCUGACGCUGAGGCGCGACAGCGUGGGGAGCAAACA